Molecule: unclassified non-coding RNA, 312 nt
Filed under: uncultured fungus
Lineage: Eukaryota; Fungi
Description: partial contains 5.8S ribosomal RNA and internal transcribed spacer 2
Rfam family: 5.8S ribosomal RNA (bases 1-133)
Source: RNAcentral
UGGCUCCAGCAUNGAUGAAGAACGCAGCGAAAUGCGAUAGGUAGUGUGAAUUGCAGAACCCAGUGAAUCAUCGAAUCUUUGAACGCACAUUGCGCCCCCUGGCAUUCCGGGGGGCAUGCCUGUCUGAGCGUCUGCACCCCUCUCGAGCGCGGCCUGCCUCGGUCUUGGGCCGCGCCGCGGCGGCGAGCCCCAAUUACAGCGGCGGGUCCGUGUGGCCCCGGGCGAAGCAGUAUCUCACAGCCCGGGUGUUACUCGCGACCAGCCGAAACCCCUCCGAUAGUUGACCUCAGAUCAGGCAGGGAUACCCGCUGA